RNAcentral lists this ribosomal RNA (482 nucleotides) under uncultured bacterium. Its description in RNAcentral is "partial 16S ribosomal RNA". It matches the Rfam family "Bacterial small subunit ribosomal RNA", at positions 30 to 507 of the family's 1533-position model. The record is from RNAcentral.
AUUGAACGCUGGCGGCAUGCCUUACACAUGCAAGUCGAACGGUAACGGGCCUUCGGGUGCCGACGAGUGGCGAACGGGUGAGUAAUACAUCGGAACGUGCCCGAUCGUGGUGGAUAACGAGGCGAAAGCUUUGCUAAUACCGCAUACGAUCUACGGAUGAAAGCAGGGGACCGCAAGGCCUUGCGCGGACGGAGCGGCCGAUGGCAGAUUAGGUAGUUGGUGGGAUAAAAGCUUACCAAGCCGACGAUCUGUAGCUGGUCUGAGAGGAUGAUCAGCCACACUGGGACUGAGACACGGCCCAGACUCCUACGGGAGGCAGCAGUGGGGAAUUUUGGACAAUGGGCGCAAGCCUGAUCCAGCCAUGCCGCGUGCAGGAUGAAGGCCUUCGGGUUGUAAACUGCUUUUGUACGGAACGAAAAGCCUUCUUUUAAUACAGGAGGGUCAUGACGGUACCGUAAGAAUAAGCACCGGCUAACUACGUG